GACAGAGGCCUCAAGCGUUAGGCGGAAUCACUGGGCUUAAAGCGCGUGUAGGCGGAUCGUUAAGUACCUUGUGAAAUCCCACGGCUUAACCGUGGAACUGCUGGGUAUACUGGCGGUCUUGAGCCACCUAGGGGCCUGCGGAACAAGCGGUGGAGCGGUGAAAUGCGUAGAUAUCGAGAGGAACACCUGCGGCGAAGGCGGGUUGCUGGGCUGACACUGACGCUGAUUGUGCGAAAGCUAGGGGAGCGAACGGG
Molecule: ribosomal RNA, 254 nt
Filed under: uncultured bacterium
Lineage: Bacteria
Description: partial 16S ribosomal RNA
Rfam family: Bacterial small subunit ribosomal RNA
Source: RNAcentral